UAGGGAAUCUUCGGCAAUGGGGGCAACCCUGACCGAGCAACGCCGCGUGAGUGAAGAAGGUUUUCGGAUCGUAAAGCUCUGUUGUAAGUCAAGAACGGGUGUGAGAGUGGAAAGUUCACACUGUGACGGUAGCUUACCAGAAAGGGACGGCUAACUACGUGCCAGCAGCCGCGGUAAUACGUAGGUCCCGAGCGUUGUCCGGAUUUAUUGGGCGUAAAGCGAGCGCAGGCGGUUUGAUAAGUCUGAAGUUAAAGGCUGUGGCUCAACCAUAGUUCGCUUUGGAAACUGUCAAACUUGAGUGCAGAAGGGGAGAGUGGAAUUCCAUGCGUAGCGGUGAAAUGCGUAGAUAUAUGGAGGAACACCGGUGGCGAAAGCGGCUCUCUGGUCUGUAACUGACGCUGAGGCUCGAAAGCGUGGGGAGCUAACAGG
RNAcentral lists this ribosomal RNA (429 nucleotides) under bacterium. Its description in RNAcentral is "partial 16S ribosomal RNA". It matches the Rfam family "Bacterial small subunit ribosomal RNA", at positions 355 to 776 of the family's 1533-position model. The record is from RNAcentral.